Long non-coding RNA from Pezoporus flaviventris, 741 nucleotides. RefSeq lists it as uncharacterized. Lineage: Eukaryota; Metazoa; Chordata; Aves; Psittaciformes; Psittacidae. The transcript is spliced from 2 exons. The record is from RefSeq and is a predicted model, not a curated record.
CCUCCACAUUUUCCCCGCUAGCUAGAGAGUUUGCUUUCUGCUGGACAAACUGUGAUAGCCAAAACACAAAGCCUGAAACCACUGCUAUAUUAUUCUCCAAAUAUCAGAGCCAUCGUAAGCUUAUCACAUGCAGCAGCAAGCUUCUGUGUUGCUUCAGUCCAGCAACAGCAUCCCUAACUAUUAGAUUCACCUGCAGUUCUGCAGUCACUGUACAAUUCGGUGCAAUAAAGGCCAAGUCACUAAACUGAUGCAGAUUCUUCCUGUUCCUUAAAAAAAACCAGAUAUUUCUGCCAGAACAACGUUUGUCAGUAGCAGCUCUAAGUGGUAUGUUCUGUUUGGAACAGAACCAAAGCAGCUUAAACACGCUUUGGGAACCGUAAUGAGUCCAGCAGAAAUUCUCAAUCUAUUAACUUUUUAUUUUGCCCAAACCCAGCUCUCAGAAAGGCUUCAUGUGACAUCUGGGACAAGAAUAAAAUAUUACAUUAAGAGUUUAUUUACUACCACCAUCUUUCUAUGUAAAAGUUACUUCUAGGCUUGUCACUCUAGUCCAGUAACACUACAAAAAUUUCAGGAAGAGUUAAAAUCAUACCGCUUAAUUUAUUUUUGCCUGCUUGUUCCUCUUCUUUCAUUUUUUUCCUUUUUAUUUCUAGGAGUUCUGCAUCAAACUUUGCUUUCCAGUUUAGGAAAUUCUCAAUGGUAACAGGAGUGCCAUGAAAACGUUGCUGAAAAAUAAACCAAACA